GUGAAGAUGCAGUGUACCCGCGGCAAGACGGAAAGACCCCGUGAACCUUUACUAUAGCUUGACACUGAACAUUGAGCCUUGAUGUGUAGGAUAGGUGGGAGGCUUUGAAGCGUGGACGCCAGUCUGCGUGGAGCCGACCUUGAAAUACCACCCUUUAAUGUUUGAUGUUCUAACGUGGACCCGUAAUCCGGGUUGCGGACAGUGUCUGGUGGGUAGUUUGACUGGGGCGGUCUCCUCC
RNAcentral lists this ribosomal RNA (238 nucleotides) under Salmonella enterica subsp. enterica serovar Paratyphi B var. L(+) tartrate +. Its description in RNAcentral is "partial 23S ribosomal RNA". It matches the Rfam family "Bacterial large subunit ribosomal RNA", at positions 2053 to 2290 of the family's 2925-position model. The record is from RNAcentral. Lineage: Bacteria; Pseudomonadati; Pseudomonadota; Gammaproteobacteria; Enterobacterales; Enterobacteriaceae.